Molecule: long non-coding RNA, 787 nt
Organism: Megalopta genalis
Lineage: Eukaryota; Metazoa; Arthropoda; Insecta; Hymenoptera; Halictidae
Source: RefSeq, a predicted model, not a curated record
CCCGCCGGUUCGUGAAACGGUACUAAUCACCUGACGCGUUCCCCAUAAUGAUUUACGAAAAUGAAGAUCGGUUCUUGAAGCAUUCAUUCCCGGACGACUCUGACAAAUAAUCGAAUUCAAGGCAUUCAACCGUGUGGAAAUAUGGCUUCCUUGGGUACACUUUUAUUAUGUCAGUACGAGUGUACGCUUUGAGAAAUAAUGCGAAACGUUUUAAGCUAUUAAAACAUCACCACUUUUAUUUGAGGUUAUAAACUGUCGACCGAUCGGGAUAGAUUCGAACCCGGAUCUUUCUCGCUUCCCGGACGGCUGCUUAAUUAAGCUAUUCCGGCUGGCCGAUGACACGUUCUCUCUCGGUUCUUGUAAACACAAACAAACAACACGUGUCAGAUAUAUGCCGGACACCUACAAUGCGCUGGGGAGCAAAAUUGAGUCGACACUUUUGACACGGAAGUCCGGAGCACACCUAUCACACCGUCACAGAAAUCUCCGGCUCCGGUAUUCAACGGAUGGGCUCGGAUGUGGACAGAAUACAAGAGCAGAAAUAUUGAGAGGCGAAAUGUGAACGCGAGAUGGAGAGCUUUGCACCGGAUAUUCCCCGAUUUUUGAUGAGAUCUGCGGGCCAUCCUUUUAGAUACGUCGGGUAACAAGAUAUUUCUUCCUCGAUCUUGGCACGAUUUAUAAUAAAAUCGAAUUUAAUUAAACGAGAAGAGGUCGAUGUAUCGUUGCCGAUACGAAUCGAAGAACAUUUUUGGGGCGAAUAAACAAUUUCAGGGAGUCCGCAAAUUUA